Molecule: long non-coding RNA, 902 nt
Organism: Gambusia affinis (western mosquitofish)
Lineage: Eukaryota; Metazoa; Chordata; Actinopteri; Cyprinodontiformes; Poeciliidae
Exons: 3
Source: RefSeq, a predicted model, not a curated record
GGCUGCGUGGCGUUCCGCCUCGGUGAUUUCUGGUGAUAUCUCUUGCACUUUUUCACAUGGGUUAUGAUGAGCAACUCUGCCAACGGGAGAUUUGUUUACAGGCAGGAGCAGCUGGUUGCGCUAUGCCAAAGCCCCUACUAAUGCCUGUGAUAAGACCUGGAGUCCCCGAAGAGUUGGAGAGAAGACGAGAAGGAUGCGAGAGAGUCGCAGAAAGGAGAGGAGUAUCUCAUCCUCAGUCGUCGGAGCCUAUGUUAGGUCCCCGGGAGAAGUAAUAUAUCAACCCACAAAGACGGAGUUUAAAAAACGGUGCCUUUGGAAGGAGAAUUUGGACGUUUUAACAUUUUGUGAACCAUUUGUUAACCCAGAAGCAGAAAAAAGGUACCACUGUAAGAAAGAGUAGAUGUCAUAACACGCACGGAGGAAAAUUCCCUGUAUGUGAUUCUAGUUUAAAAACAGAUUUCACGCUGGAGUGAAAAUGUUUUAACUCCUUUUUUGGUCGUAAAACGAGUAUCAACGUCAGACAAAGACAACCGGAUCUCAACUCCUCCUCACGGACUUCAAACGAACAGAAGAAAAUAAGUACAAACGCUGACUGUGGUGAAAUAAAUCCCAUUGCUGGAAGGUCCUGUGGAGCAUUAGGAUGACCUUGUGUAAGCAAAGCACCUUGAAAACAGGGAACCUGCUUCAGGGCGCACGGCCAACCGACCGACCAACCGACCGGCCGACGGCUUAAUAAACUCUGGCACGCGGUGUGCUGCAAACUCUGACAGACAUUCCUCAGCAUCUUUAAACCUCAACCCCAGAAGCCCCGGCGCAGCGCACACUGAACUCUGUGAAGUAGAUCAAUGGGAGGAUUAUCGCAGGACCAAGAUGCCAGCUACAGAGCGGCUCUGUGCCGCCUC